GGGGCCAUAGCCCAACUGGCAGAGGCACACGGUUUAGGUCCGUGACAGUGUGGGUUCGACUCCCACUGGCCCCA
This 74-nucleotide transfer RNA is filed under the name Streptoalloteichus hindustanus. It matches the Rfam family "tRNA". From Rfam's summary of the family: Transfer RNA (tRNA) molecules are approximately 80 nucleotides in length. Lineage: Bacteria; Bacillati; Actinomycetota; Actinomycetes; Pseudonocardiales; Pseudonocardiaceae. The record is from Rfam by way of RNAcentral.